UCCCUAGAAGCGAAGUCUCGCAUUAAGUUUCGGCCUUAAUUUUGGGAUUAAUUUUUUUCCCCUGGGGACC
Molecule: transfer RNA, 70 nt
Filed under: Cerion tridentatum costellata
Lineage: Eukaryota; Metazoa; Mollusca; Gastropoda; Stylommatophora; Cerionidae
Description: tRNA-Arg
Source: RNAcentral